Molecule: long non-coding RNA, 4139 nt
Filed under: Hordeum vulgare
Lineage: Eukaryota; Viridiplantae; Streptophyta; Magnoliopsida; Poales; Poaceae
Description: long non-coding RNA (HVUL_LNC007754)
Source: RNAcentral
UUUUUUUGAAUAAAAGGGGUUCCCCUGCUCCAUUUUUAUUAAUGAAACAUAAGUCGAACGAGUUUACAUUCAACAGCGAACACAAAACAUAACAAACAUGGGAAAAACCAAACGAGAGUCUAGCCAAAGUUACAUGCGCUAAAAAACAUAACAAAUAAAAGAAACACAAGCUACUUCCAAUUCAGCUCCUCUAGGCGAUGCGCAGAAGUUUCCCUCUGUAUUUGUCAAGCUUAGUGACGAAUUGCCGCAGUGCUCCUUCCUGUGUGGCGUUGCGGAGAACAACCCAUUGCCGGAGAAAACUUCAAAGUUUCACAAGAACGCAGUCCACACUUUUCCAAGAUUGAUCCUGGAAACAAAAUUCAUUUCUUAGUCUCCAAAUACUCCAUAAGAAGGCAACAACAAUCAUGUACUGGAUUGUCAUUUUCUUAUGAACUAGCCACAAGGCACAAAUAUCUUUAAAACAUGACAUAAUUGACAUCUGAAAUGAUUCAGCAAAAAGUUUCCAGAUGCAUUUAGCCAUUAUGCAAUCAAAAAAUAGAUGUUGUACAGAUUCCAGUUCAUUACAGAAUAAGCAAGAAGGAUCAUCAACAUUUUUUCUCUUAGCUAAGUUAUCUCUGGUUAGGACUUUAUUAUAAACACUUAGCCAAAUAAAAACAUGGAUAUUCUGUAGGCAGAGAAUUUCCCAUAAUUUGUCACCUAUGGCAGAAGCCACCCCAUCAAAGUUAAUAGAGUAUACCCCCUUGGAUUCCAGCAUCCAUAUUGGAACAUCACAGGAAUCAGGUAAUCGAGUCUUUUGAAUAAUAUCAAGUAAUUGGUUCCAUUUAUCAACCCCUCUACUGACAACACAUAUUCUAAAGGAGAGCUUAAGAUCUACACCGUCCCAAACCUGAGAGACAGUGCAGUCAGGUUGGUUGCAUAUGUAGAAUAACUCCCAAAAUUGAACCUUCAGGGAACAUUCCACCACCCAUAGAUCAUGCCAAAACUUAAUACUCCUACCAUUACCAAUUUUCCACCUAUAGAACGUCUUGGAGGCAUUAAGAGCCCAUGUUACACUCUUCCAAAAGGAAGAUUCAUUAUCAGAUUUAGACCAAAGUACAUUGGGAGACUCAGUGUUAUACUUGAAAGAAAUGAUAUCUUUCCAGUCUUUUUUCUGAUUAUCAAAAAAUCUCUUACCCCGGGAGGCCAAUAAGGCCAUAUUAAACUCUUUCAGGUUAGGUAUCCCUAAACCCCAAAGGAUUUCUUCCUAGUAAUCAGCCCCCAAUUAGCAAGGUGAUAUUUGUGCUCGUCCCCCAUAUUCCCCCAGAAAAAAUGUGUCAUUUGCGAAUUAAUAGCCUCAAUAGCCCAUUUUGGAAACUUAAUUACUGCCAUAAGGUAAGCAGGAAUACUGACAAUACAUGCACAAAACAGAAUCAAUUUCCCUGUGUAAGUAAGAUGUUUACCUAACCAAGCAGAAAUACAUUUGAUGAUCCUGUCAAUGAUUGGUUGAAGUUCUUCCCUACGUAGUUUGUCAUAGUGCAAAGGCACACCCAAGUAUUUAACAGGGAAAGGCCCAACCUUACAACUAAAUUUUUUGGCAAAAGAUUUAGUCAUCUCAUCCUCAAUGUUAAUAGUUAACAAAUCACUCUUAUGAAAAUUGAUUUUCAUCCCAGAUAGAUUUUCAAAGCAAGAGAGGAUCCAUUUAAAAUUUCUCGCUUUCUCACAAGAGUUUUCUAGGAAAAGGAGAGUAUCAUCAGCAUAUUGUAAGCUGGUGAUCCCUCCUUUUAUCACAUCAGGCAGAAGCCCUGAAAUGAGAUUCCGUUGAGCUUCUUUAACUAACAUUUUAGAGAAAACAUCAGCUACAUGAUUAAAAAGGAUGGGAGAAAUUGGGUCCCCUUGUUUAAGGCCUUUGCCACCAACAAAAUAGGGGCAGUCGUAUCAUUAAUACGUACACUAAACGUACCCUUCAGCAUAACACUCUUGAUACAGGAGAUCCAUUUAUCCCCAAAGCCCCUCGACUCCAACAUCUCAAAGAGAAAUUCCCAUCUCACUCUAUCAUAUGCUUUCUCAUAGUCUAAUUUGAGCACAAGCCCCUGAGUUUUGGAUCGUUUGACUUCAUGAAUUACUUCAUGAGCCAACACCACACUCUCAAGAAUAAAUCUCCCUUUGAUGAAAGCAGUUUGGUUGGGAGAAAUCAGUCUAUCCCCCAUAGGGGACAAUCUGGUAGUCAUUGCUUUAGUAAGAAUCUUAACUGCACAAUUCCCAAGGCUAAUAGGUCUGAAUUCCUUCAUAUCCUUGGUAUCAGCUUCUUUAGGAAUUAGAACAAUUAUGGCAAAAUUCAACUUAUAUAUGUCAAACUUCCCUUCUUCAAAGUCUUUUACUAAGGCCAUAAAGUCAGUUUUAAUCAACUCCCAGAAGGAUUGAUAGAACAAAAAAUAAAGGCCAUCAGGGCCUGGAGCACCAUGUGCAUACGAUCGGAAAAUGGCCUCUUUAAUUUCCUCCUCAGAGAAACUAUUUUGUAAUAUCUCAUUCUCAUCGGGAGUAACCAUCUCUUCUUCCUUCCAAGAGGAAGGACCCAAGGAAAUAUUAUGCUUAUGCUCAUAACCAAAGAGGUUCUUAUAAAAAGAAGUGGCAAUAUCAAUCAUCUCUUUGGUGGAAUGAAUUGGGCCAUCAUCACCAUUCAACUCAUAUAAGUGGUUCUUCCUAUGGCGAUGCUUAGCAAAAGCAUGGAAAUAUUUAUUUUUCUUGUCACCGUCUUUGAUCCUGCUAUCUCUGGACCGCUGCCACAAGGCAGUUUCUUCUUUCCUCCAGAUAUCCUCUAAUUCUCUUUUAAUCUCCUUCAUACGAAUCUUAUCAUUGGUAUCUAAUCAGUUGGUUUCAGAGAACACAUCAAGAAUGUCAAACUCUUGUAAAAGGACCUUCUUCUUCUUUCUCAUAGCAGCCUCUAGAUAAAUACUCCAGCCUUUAAUCUUUUUCCGUAAGAUCCUAGUUUUAUUCAUCCAGUUAUCGAUAGAUUUACCCAAACAAACUAUAUUAGUCCAAGUUUUGCAAACUAGUUCUUUAAAAUAUGGUUGGUCAAGCCACCACUUGUCAAACCGAAAAGGUUUGGGGGAGGUAACCCUCCGAGCUUUAGUGUCUAAGAGGAGCGGAGUGUGAUCACUACCAACUCGAGGGAGCGUAGAUAGAACAAUCAACGGGAAGUGAGCAUCCCAGGAUGUGGAAACAAACACACGAUCAAUCAUCGCAAAAAUAAGGUCAUCUUGGUUGUUACUCCAUGUAUAGCUCCUAUUAGCAAUAUUAAUCUCCAUGAGACCCCAUUUGUUAAUCCAAUCAUUAAAAAGCAGAGUGGACUGGUUAUUAAUCAACCCAUUCUUUUUGUCAAAUACAGAUCUAACCAAAUUAAAAUAUCCACCAAGGAGAACAAGGUAAGAUAAAUUAUGCAUGAUAUCAUGCAGCUCAGGAAUGAACUCAACUUUGUGCUCAUUGUAAGCAGUGCCAUAAACUGCAAUAAAAUGUCAUAAGAAGCCAUCCUCUUUAUUCUUAAUUGUAACUACCACGCAGUAAUUUUUGUUAAUAAAACCAAUAACUUCAUAGAGAUCAUUUCUAAGGCCCACAAGGAUGCCACCAGCAGUAUUAAUAGCACGUAAGGUAUGCCAACAGAAAUCACCACCACAAGCAAUCGAUUUCAGAAUAUGGCUAUCAAUGAUCUCUCUUUUAGUUUCAAAGAAACCAACAAAAUCAACUCUAUGAUUAUGGAGAAAGUCUCCUAGGCACUGUAUCUUCCCAUGUUGUCCUAGACCCCUGAUAUUCCAAAAGGCUCCUAUCAUGAGAUUUUAAAGGGGUGUGACAAGCCACAAGACUUACUUUUUGUGAGUAGGGUUGGACUAUCCUUCACUAAAACAGUAGUGCCCCUGUUUUAGAUCUAGGAACAGAGCCAAGAGGUGAGGAAUAAGUUUGAAAAACCACAUCUAGAUUAUCAGGGAGGACAUCCUUCGGGUUAAGAUCAACAAAUUGAAGGCAUCUAAGUUUUUCAUUUUCUAUCAUGUCAUCAAGAAUAGCACAUUGUUCUUUAUCAUCUUUACCAAUACAUAUAUCAAUUUUCCUAGCCUGGUCCACAAGGUUAUAAUUUUCUAGACAGGAAAAAGAUUUACCUUUGAAUGAUG